UAUGUGAGGGUAGUGCCUGCAGGUGGAGAGUGCUAUGACACUGGACCCUUCUUCCCUUCUGACCCACAUCAUUUGACUCGCAUGGGCAUCGCACAGAGACGCCACCUGCUGCUCCGCCCCAACUGGCUGAUGAUCGGUGGGCUUUUAGUAGGAGCUGUGGUAAUCCUGUGCUUGUGUGUCAUUAUAUUGGUAAGUGAUAAGGAAGGCUUUAACAAAAACCUUGGGGUUAACAAAACUUGGCUUAUUGAAGUGACCGAACACUGUGUCCUCACAGAUCUUGUUCAGGAAUUACGGCUGGCCUGAGAAACUGCCAGCUCAGGUCAGGUACCGUGAUCUGCAGCUAAGGUACAACAUGGACGACUAUUCAUCAAAGGGCUCCAGGGUGGUGGCUGUGAAAAAAACACAUCGAAACCUGCAGGUGGGGUUGACUGAGGAUUCAGUGCAGAGAGCAGUGGCUCUGGUGUCAAAUGAAUUCUGGGACUAUGAAGAGCAAGUGGAUCUCGAAGCAUUCAGCUCCAGCACCUUCUAUGACAUCCUACUCAAGCACAGCGUGUCUGUCACAAUACGUCUCGGGCAGCUCAGAGGAGAGGUGAGACUCUAUGAGAACAACAGUCUAUUUCCUGCCCCUAUGAGCUUCAAAUAUCACCCUCGUAAAGUUCAAAUAUAUUUACCCAUAUUGAAUAACAUCACUGAGAUGCUCAGUUGUAAUUAACAGUCUCUCUUGUUUCAUGGUCCACUAUGAUACCAUGUAGGAUACAGCAGUGAAUUGUUACUUCCCUGGGGUGAAGUGCGUGGAUCAACUAAAAUGAGUUGUAAAUAUAGCAUUUCUUUUCAGCUUGUUUCAUUGAUGGAAACAUUUGCCCUGUCUAGGUGAAGCAUCUCUAUCAGGGGGUGCUGGGGAAGUUGAGAGAGCUCCACCCUGGCUGGAGGAUGUUUGGAGGGAAAACCGAAGGUCUGGAGAGGCAGGUGGAGCAGGAGAUGGUGCGACGAAGAGCACUGGGCAAUCAGCUGACACAGCUGCUGGACAGCCAGCUGCAGAUCCUGCGGGUGGAGAUGAGAGCACAGCAGGCCAUGCAGAAGACCUUCAGAGCACGACUGAGAGAGAGCGCGAGGCUUCUGAGACUGCUGGCUGAGGGUCAGACCUCGCUCUGGGAUAAACACAUCAAGCAACAUGUUCUGGAGCGGGUAGCUGUGCUGGCUGAUGAGAUGACUGAGAAGGUAUCAGUGGAGAGCCAGAGGCUGGGGGCCUGGGUUGUGCUUAAAGAGGGCACUGGAGCACAGCUAUUAUGCCCUGCUACUGGAUCAGUCCUCAGUAGGGAAGACAUCAUCGCUCCUGAUGGAUCUCUUAGAGCUUGUGAUGCCGUUCAUGUAAACCCCCUCACAGGCCUCAUUCAGCCCAACUCUAACGCCCAUAUGUUACUGGCCAGUGGACACAGCAUGCCAGUUCCCCCGGACUUCUUCCUACACUCCCAGACUGGCAAACUACUGCCUAUGGCUGGAAACGUGGGCUUUGAUCCUGUUUCCUCCACCCUUGUCUUUACAGCCGAUGCUUGUGUGGGGGAGGUGGGAAAAUGGGAACUACCCCUGCUGCCUUUCAUUCCGUACCCUCCGUCCCGCCACGCCGAACUUCAUGCUGCUUCCAAACUACGGGGGCUUCGUUCAGGCCAAAGGCUGAUGCUUGGAGGACCCAUGUGUGACUGUGACACUGGUGUUUUGGUGCCUAUUCAGGCAGUCACCAUCCAUCCACAAACAGGAUUGGUUUAUCCUUUGGGAGGCGUGCACACGUGUCCCAUCUCACGCCUGUGGCAGCCUAUUCAAAUAGGCUCUCCCAUGCUGGACCCACGUACAGGUGACCUAGUGCUCAUCACGGGCAUCACUCUUGAUCCCCAUACAGGGGCUGUACUUCCAGUUGGGGGGCUUCUCCUAGGCGAGUCCUUCAUCGAGCCCUUGAGCGGACGGAUGGUGCGGGUUGGUGGAGGCAGCGUGCGAGGAGGAAAGGUGGUGCCUCAUGCUGGGGGUUUCCAGGCUCUGCUGGACAGCCAGGCUCUGGGCGCUUGCUUGCGAAUGGCAGAGCUCCUGCAAGGAUUCAGCUCAGCAGCUGCAGAUCCACAAGGUGACCUGGACAGACUCUCGGCAGCAACAUCUGAGCUGGAGCAGGCCUGGAAAAGCAGCCAACACUGUAUGUUGCAGCUGCUGAGUCGCCUGGAAGCCGUACAGGGACAGGCCAGGGGUGUGGUGGAGAAUGGCGGUAGUGUGGGGGAAAUUAAGCUUCCUGGCAUUGAGCUCUCCUUGCCAGCUCUCCCCGGGUUGGAGUAUCCUGACCCUGGAGGCUCGGGUCUGCAUGUCCCAGUUCUGGGAGCUCAGUUGGACUGGAUGUCAGGAUCUAUGGUGCCCCUGGCAGGAACCAUGGAGGAUGCAGAUGGUAAAGGGCUAGUUCCCAUACAUUUUGGAGCGCAGACAGUGGACCCAGUGACAGGGGUGCUGGCUCCGGUUGUGGGGGCCAGUCUGGAUGUUUGGAAGUGGACUGUGGUUCCUGUAACUGUGUCCCAGAUUCUGACGUUAGGAGAAAACCCAGACAGUGUCACGGUGGAAGCCCUCCAGAAAGAGAGCAGUGUACAGGGCAAUUACUGGCGUGAGCAGACACUGAAGGAAGAGGAGAUGGUGGGAGAUUUUGACAGAGCCAUUAAACACUAUCUGUCCACAUCCAUACACGAGUCUGACUGUAUAGACUGGAUGGACACAGACAGGCACCUCAGGGAGACCGCCGCUGAGAUUCAGGAAAGUGCUCAGUGUGAGGCCCAGAGAAAAGCUCUCCAGAACUCAGAGUUAUCGCUGCUCCUACAAGCCCAUGUGUUACACACCUUCACAGGAGGAGAUGAAGAGGAGUGGGAGCAGCAGUGUUACUGGCACACUGAGCUUAAGGCCGUGCUGAACCGAGUGAGUGUGUCCAUGGAGAGACUGCAGAGGGACCGGGAUCAGCUGUCGGCACAGGAAACGCAGCAUCUGGUCAGCUUGUUUUCACAUUGAAACAUAAAAAAACACUCUCACCCUCAGACAGAAAGAUACAAUGCUGACAACAGUCUGUUGAGCUCAUUACUACUUUGUUGAACAACUGAAUGAGCAGAUCAAUACAUUGGAAGCUUGAUAUCCUUCAUAAGACUAUUGGUGCGAUCGCCAAUAUUCUGGCUUUGCACUGUCCAUUUUCCAGUUUGAUGGAGUGCAGUCUGGGAUGAAUAACACAGUGUCUUUUAAUUAUGACAGGAUGGAAAACUGAGGGAGCAGGAUCUGUGGGAGCAUUUAAUGCAGAGACAAGCAGAGCUGGAUGCUGCACUUUCAACUCUUCACUGUGCUCGUCAGGUCUGCCAGCUGCGUGCUGACAUUGCACAGGUAACACAUGCCGGAGGUCAAUUGUGUAGUGAUGUCCUUGGUUUACCUUAGAGCCGUUUGGUGUCUAUGGGACAAUUAGGAAUGCUUUAGCAGACUUUAAUCCACCUUUUCCCCUGAAAGUCUACUGAAUUGAUUCUUUUCCCUUAGUCUUUGGUUUGUGGCACAUUCUGGUAUAAGGAUUUUGGCAUGCUGCAGCCUAAGGGUGUGAGGAACCCUCUGAAAGUAAUAGCCAUGACUCAGCAGAAAAUCCUUCCUCGGCUUGAACGACUUAUUCAGCUGCUGGAGGAAACCAAAGCACUUGGCCAGUCGACCAGCACACAGCGGCAGCAGAGCUCUGGUACAAUAACCUCAUUUAUGCCUUAUUACAGGAAAGUUAAUCAUGCUUUUGUUUGAGUUGCAAAAUGUUUCUCAAAAGGAAAGCAGGCGUUCGACCGAGACAGCGCUUCCAGAGCGUGGACCGAAUCUGUGUCUGUUGUGAAAGGUAUUUUUCAGUGCACAAAACAAUAAAUAGUGAGAUUCUGGUUGUCA
Cyprinus carpio (common carp) is the source of this 3915-nucleotide long non-coding RNA. The record is from Ensembl. NCBI's taxonomy places the organism in Eukaryota, Metazoa, Chordata, Actinopteri, Cypriniformes, Cyprinidae.